RNAcentral lists this ribosomal RNA (419 nucleotides) under uncultured bacterium. Its description in RNAcentral is "bacterial SSU rRNA". It matches the Rfam family "Bacterial small subunit ribosomal RNA", at positions 29 to 412 of the family's 1533-position model. The record is from RNAcentral.
AACGAACGCUGGCGGCGUGGCUAAGACAUGCAAGUCGUACGGUAGGUUGUAGCAAUAUGGCCUAUAGUGGCGGACGGGUGAGUAAUGAAUAGGUAACGUACCCCGGGCACAGGAAUAGCGUCGGGUCCCGCAAGGGAUCCUUUGCGAAAGUGACGGUAAUACCUGGUGACGUCCUUGAGUGGCAUCAUUCGAGGACCAUACGGUGGGGACCUUCGGGCCUAUCGGCCUGGGAGCGGCCUAUUUCCAUCAGCUUGUUGGUGAGGUAACGGCUCACCAAGGCUUCGACGGGUAACCGGGACUGAGAGGUUGACCGGUCACAUCGGGACUGAGACACUGCCCGGACAUCUACGGAUGGCUGCAGUAACGAAUAUUCCGCAAUGGGCGAAAGCCUGACGGAGCGACGCCGCGUGGAGGACGAA